AGAACGAACGCUGGCGGCAGGCUUAACACAUGCAAGUCGAGCGCCCCGCAAGGGGAGCGGCAGACGGGUGAGUAACGCGUGGGAACCUACCCAAUUCUACGGAACAACUGAGGGAAACUUCAGCUAAUACCGCAUACGCCCGAGAGGGGAAAGCGGGGGACUCGGCAAGAGCCUCGCGCGAUUGGGUUGGCCGAUGUCCGAUUAGCUAGUUGGUGAGGUAAAGGCUCACCAAGGCGAUGAUCGGUAGCUGGUCUGAGAGGAUGAUCAGCCACACUGGGACUGAGACACGGCCCAGACUCCUACGGGAGGCAGCAGGUGGGUAAGUUUGGACAGUGGGGGCAACCGUGACUCC
This 352-nucleotide ribosomal RNA is filed under the name uncultured soil bacterium. RNAcentral's name for it is "bacterial SSU rRNA". It matches the Rfam family "Bacterial small subunit ribosomal RNA", at positions 26 to 389 of the family's 1533-position model. The record is from RNAcentral.